This 1021-nucleotide ribosomal RNA is filed under the name uncultured soil eukaryote. RNAcentral describes it as "SSU rRNA". It matches the Rfam family "Eukaryotic small subunit ribosomal RNA", at positions 1 to 990 of the family's 1831-position model. The record is from RNAcentral.
ACCUGGUUGAUCCUGCCAGUAACAUAUGCUUGUUUUAAAGAUUAAGCCAUGCAUGUCUAAGUAUAAGCGAUUUUUAUGGCGAGACUGCGAAUGGCUCAUUAAAUCAGCAACAAUCUAUUUGAUUAAAUCGAAAGAAUAAAUGGAUAACUGCAGUAAUUCUGGAGCUAAUACAUGCAUACUUAAAUGUACAAAAAACUCGACUUUUCGGAAGAGUUGUUCUUACUUGCAGCAAAACCAACAUAGGGGGGUUUUUCUCCUUAUAAAACUUAAAGAUGAUUCAUUGUAAUAUAGCGGAUUGUAUGACCUAGAGUCGACAACGAAUCAUUCGAAUUUCUGACCUAUCAACUGUGGAUGUUAGUAUAGAGAACUAACAUGGUUUUAACGGGUAACAGAGAAUUAGGGUUUGGUUCUGGAGAUGGUGCCUGAGAGAUGGCAACAACUUCCAAGGAAGGCAGCAGGCGCGCAAUUUACCCAAUUUUAAAACAGAGAGGUAGUGACGAAACAUAACAAUGCCAGGUUAUAAUUUAACUUGGUAAUUGGAAUGAGAAAAAUUUAAAUACCUUAACGAGGAACAAUUAGAGGGCCAGUCUGGUGCCAGCAGCCGCGGUAAUUCCAGCUCUAAUAGCGUAUAUUAAAUUUGCUGCAGUUAAAAAGCUCGUAGUCGAAUUUUGAAACUCGAUUAAGUUGGUCCGUCGGGAGAUGUGUACUGCUUUUUCGAUUCUCUCAACUUUUUAGAUGUGGUUAGCUGAUCUUAACUGAUUGGUUAAUGGCUCUAAAUCGUUUACUGUGAACAAAUUGGAGUGUUUAAAGCAAGCGUUUUUGCUCUGUACAAUUCAGCAUGGGAUAAUAAAAUAAGACUUGAUUCUUGUUUUGUUGGUAUUUGAAGAAUUGAGUAAUGGUUAAAGGGGGUUGCCGGGGCUGUUAGUAUUUGAUGGUCAGAGGUGAAAUUCUUGGAUUCAUCAAAGACUUGCAUCAGCGAAAGCAUUCAGCAAGAAUAUCCCCAUUGAUCAAGAACGAAAGU